This 253-nucleotide ribosomal RNA is filed under the name uncultured bacterium. Its description in RNAcentral is "partial 16S ribosomal RNA". It matches the Rfam family "Bacterial small subunit ribosomal RNA", at positions 331 to 578 of the family's 1533-position model. The record is from RNAcentral.
CCGCGCCUACGGGACGCAGCAGUAGGGAAUUUUCGUCAAUGGGCGCAAGCCUGAACGAGCGAUGCCGCGUGAGUGAAGAAGGCCUUCGGGUCGUAAAGCUCUGUUGCGGGGGAAAAAAGGCAGCAUCAGGAAAUGGGUGCUGACUGAUGGUGCCCCGCCAGAAAGUCACGGCUAACUACGUGCCAGCAGCCGCGGUAAUACGUAGGUGGCGAGCGUUAUCCGGGAUGAUUGGGCGUAAAGGGUGCGAAGGCGG